CAAGCGAUUGUCCAGUUUCGAUGCGAGGCUGUCCCUGGUGGAGAUUCUACACCGGGAAUUUAAAUCCUUGCGAGAAUCCCUGGAGUUCAGCCAGCAGCAGGUGGAAACGCUCGCUGCUGAAAACGCCACGCUAAAGGAGUCGGUCAAAUGUCUUACUGAAAAUCUUCCCCAGAAUCCGCGAGAGAAGACGCGGAAACUACGUGAAAAGCUUCAUCAAAACCCACCUGAAGCUGCCGGAGGACACUGUAAAGAAUUUCGCAUUUGAAAGAGUGCAUCGCAUCGGGGCCAUGAGGUCAGCGGCCAGGAGCCCACAUCCUAUUGUGGCCAAAUUCGGCCACUUCAAACAAAAGGAACAGGUGAAGAGUUGCGGCAGGGAAUUAAAAGGAAUGGACUUCAGCGUGAACGACCAGUUCCCAAAAGAGAUCCUGGAACGACGCAAGGUCCUCUUUCCAAUCUGACGCGGCUUCAUCCAGAAGGGCUUCCACGCUGUCAUCGCUGUGGACGGAUGGCUUUACCGCGACCCCGGCAUCACUCCGUGGAAGGCUUCUCGGGGGUAAGGCCGUCAAGCACUCCAGCAACCUUUAUGGUUCUUCUUUGAUUCAACAGGAACUGUUAGAAAAGCCUUUCAGUGCCUCCAGCUACUGGUUUUUGCAUGAAAGACACAGGCAUAAACACAAACAUGAAGCUUAAAGCUGCCUUACCUUUUCUUCAAUGACCGCUCCAGAUGGUUAUGGUCCGUUCUGUCGCAUCCCAAGGCGUCUCCUGGAUCCUGUUUUCUCCUGUCUGGUUCCUGUUGUGGGCUGAAGUGUCCAUAACCCUGCUCGCCACUGUAUUUUCCAUCUUGGGGAUCGUGGAAUAAACGUUUUGAAUUUGUACGCAUUAUCAUGGGCUACACAGACAACUUCUACCCGGGCUCCAGCUCCAACAAGGAUGACUGAUAAAUGUGUGGUUUUAUAAAUGAUUUUCUUUCUUCCAGUGGAUUGGAUCUCCUGUUUGUGACUGAGACACAGAUGAGAGUUGGUGAGCCUAGCAUUAUUUCUGAACCGUUACCCUCUGACUGCUCAUUUCUUAAUGCUCCAAGGAGAUCAGGUAGAGGAGGAGGAAUACUGACUGUUUUUAAGAAAAAACUUUCACUACAAACAACUCCAUGUACUGGUUUCUGCCUCCAGCUUUGAACUUCUCAUAUUU
Oreochromis aureus is the source of this 1188-nucleotide long non-coding RNA. The record is from Ensembl. Lineage: Eukaryota; Metazoa; Chordata; Actinopteri; Cichliformes; Cichlidae.